This 200-nucleotide ribosomal RNA is filed under the name uncultured bacterium. Its description in RNAcentral is "partial 16S ribosomal RNA". It matches the Rfam family "Bacterial small subunit ribosomal RNA", at positions 8 to 202 of the family's 1533-position model. The record is from RNAcentral.
AGAGUUUGAUCAUGGCUCAGGAUGAACGCUAGCGGCAGGCUUAAUACAUGCAAGUCGUGGGGCAGCGCAGGUAGCAAUACUGGGCGGCGACCGGCAAACGGGUGCGGAACACGUACGCAACUUACCCCUAACUAAGGGAUAGCCCAUAGAAAUGUGGAUUAACCCCUUAUAGUACAGUCGGACUGCAUGGUCUGAUUGUU